Long non-coding RNA from Taeniopygia guttata (zebra finch), 9483 nucleotides. The record is from Ensembl. NCBI's taxonomy places the organism in Eukaryota, Metazoa, Chordata, Aves, Passeriformes, Estrildidae.
AAUGAAUAACAGAUCUUUGUUAGUAUGUAUAACAAGGCAAACAAACAACAACAAACAGAACCAGAGCCCCGAGCACAGCCGACUCUGGGCCGCAGGCACUUCCCUCGGUGCAGUUCCGCUCACGGCCGGCGGGGGUGCUGCUGGCUCCCGGCCGGGCAGGGCGGGGCGAUGAUUCCCGCGCGCCUGCGGGGGGCGCUGUGGCGCCAGCCCGGCCGUGUCUCCCUCACGCGGUAAUGGCGGGCAGGCUGGAUGGUGAAGUGGGCUGCAGCAGGAACCUCGGAGCAGUGGAAUGGCAGGCACCAACAGACCCCGGUGUAGCACAGAAACGUGUCAGAAACUCCACAGCUGUGGCAGGAGUGUCCUGACAGGCAGGGUUCAGGCUUACAGUGUAACAAAAAAGCCUGGAGCUGUCGCAGAGAAACAGCAGGGCUGGGCUGUGGCAGCCGGGCUCCCGAGGGCCGCCAGGAGAGGCUCCUUUGGAAGGGUUUUCCCCUGAGGCACCUGAGCAGAUGGUGAGGGUCCUUUCCAGUGAGGUAGGCUGUUAGUAAGGUCCCAGUUCAGUGGCUCCUCUUCCGAGCAAAGGCGCACCCACAGCAAGGAAGAGGCAGUACAAGGCUGGGCUGCGGCGGUGGGAAUGAAAUCCCCCCGCAGUAAGCAACAGCUCGGCCGUUCUCCUGCAGUGCUGACAGCGAGAGAGCGAGCCCUCACCCCCAGCCAAAAUCCCACGGUACCUCUGCCCUUCUGGAGAGGAAACCAGACAGGUAAGAGAGUGGCCAGCUGCACCCUUCUCUCACCUUGGUCUUUUAUCUCUUUAAGUAUUGAUGGUUAUUGUCUCUUAGCAACAAAUGGGAGAAAAUUCACCCUCCCCUCCUCCCCCCCAAAAAAGGGAGAAAUCCUAACCCCACAGAGGGAAAUCUCAUAAUCAGGAUGAAUUGAGAAUGGAGAUUAGAAGAAGGAGAUGGGUAGGAUUGCCAAUUUACAUUCUGAAAGUGGUGUGGUUAAGGGGCACAGGAAGUGUGGACCACCUUUUUUUGAGUGCACUUAGUACCUUAAAUCCAGGUCUUCAUGGAUCAUUCGAGAGUUUAGAAACUGAGGCAAAAACAGUUUAAAAAAAAAGUCUUUCCAGAUGUGUAAACUCUAAGCAGAACUGGAAGUAGAUCCUAGGAGUCCUGCCUCUUAAUUCCCUUCUCUGGGCACAGAAAAUCUUCUUUGAUUUUCUGCAAGUGUUUCUCGCUGUAGGUGUACAUUAGCUUGCUCUCAUGGACAAUUGCAUUCAGCUGUUAGCAAGGUUAAUAAUAUUAAAACAAAAUGGCUGGAUGUCUCUAGAGGUCGACAGGGGAGCACAAGAUGCUCUAAUAAGAGCCGCACUAAGAGGAAAGAGAUGAAUGCAGCACAAGAAUGAGCCUUUUAAUGGCCCAUUAAGAAGAAAAAUGACAUACAGAAGUUGAGGCUAUAUUUUUGUUUUGAUAAUUGUUUCCUAAGAAUAUGUUGCAUUCUAUGCAGAGGAUCAGUCAAAUGUUUUGUUGUGAGUUUUAAAGGCUUUAGCUAAUAAAGGAAGGUUACUGGUGUGUGAAUGCAUAAUGUUAAAGCAUUUCUCUUGGUCAAAACUUAAAACACACAGUGAGUGUCAGCAUCCCUCAACAGUGGUAUAUGUUACACAAAGCAUUGCUCAGCCCACAGUCAGUGUGAGCCCACACAGCCCAAGCCAUGAGUCCCCUUCCUGAGCUGUGUUUGCUGUCUCCUGACCUGCUGGGGAUGGCAGGGUCUCUCAGCCCUUCAGAUAAAUGCCUUAGGCAGGCAAGUGCUGACAAUCAGUGGCAGACAGUGGUUAUCUGCCACACAGUCCAGCAGGCAGGACAAGCAUUGUUAACAUCAGUGAGUCCUGAGGAGAAUCAAAGCAUUUGGGUGUCAGAGUACAUGGGGUCUUUGCUGCUUCUAUUUCUCACUACUAAUACUUUUUAAUCCCUGCUCCCAUUCUGGUCAUAUAAAAACAAAUAAGUCUUGAUGACAGUCUUCUUUCCUCCCAUUUUGCCUCUUAUUUUACUCAGAUUUCAGGGGGACAAUCCUGAGCUUACAGGAGAUGUCUCUGCAGAAGUUAGUAUUGGUACCCCUCCAUCAGUGGUUUUGGAGACAGUGAGACGGGUGGGGAGGUUGCCAUAGGAUGUAUAGGAGAGAACAUAGAAAGUCUAAAGCUUUGCUGUGGAAGAACUGUCAUUUUCCCUUUUAGUGCCCUCCAGAAAGCCACCUAUAUAUGCCUCUCAUCCUCUUUCUGCUAUGGGGUAGCCUUUUGUUUGAUGAGGUCUUGACAAGCCUGGGCUCAAAGUGUCCUUUUCAGGGCAGGUACAAGUCCUUCAGUGUAUGCUUCUGGGUACUUCUUACAGUAGCAUGUUGUGCUGUUGUCCUGGGGUCAGCACUCAGAACUUCUUCUGAAUAAGCAAUACUUUCAAUAUUAGUUCUAACUUAGGUAAAACUAAUGAGAUUGGGUAUUCUGGGAGGUAAGGAGCUAUCUAGCUGGGCAUCUCAAAUGCCCAUUGCAAAUAUAGGUUGGGCACAUAUUUUAAUUGAGAACAUCUUCCUUCCUGAGGAUUUCAUUUGGUUGUGAUCAGAGCUGCAUAAAGGACAAAGUAGGGAAACACCAGCCUUUGAGGGGAGUGAAAUCUCUAAGAUACAGAAAAGGUGAGGAAUCAGUGACAUGAGGUUUGGGCAAACAAAGUGUGAUUGAAUGUUUUGGCUCCAUGCAGUACUGAUUGCAGUACUUUGUCCCAGAUACAGGCCAUGGUCUGGAGUUAUUCACAGGCAUUUCAGAAUACAGUUUCUAUGAAAUAUGCCAUCCUAAAAAAAGCAGUAUUGAUUCAAAGAAAAGUAAUAAACUUUACAUGACAUAAAAGAGAGAAAGGAAAUGCUUGUUGAGAAUCAGGACCACCUCAGAAAAGGAUAUGAAGCUGGAAAUAGAGUUACUUGGAACUGUAAGUCCCAAGCUGUUACUGUCCUCCACUGAGGGAGAAAUGAGUGAGGGGACAAGAGCCCAGGGAACUAGAGGUACUUUUGCCUUUGUGCAUAGAAUGUCCUGGAACUGCCCUUACCCUGGGAACUUGAUGAUCUUCCACUCAAUUCACUUUAUGAAAUACCAGGUGUUCUGAACAGUUACUUAGUGCUGAUUUCUUAGUCCCAUUUAAUGAUCCUCUGAGUGGCAUUGUGGGCUGAAUACAUCUUUCUCCCACCCAGUCUUUGCUGUUCUAGCUCCAGUGGCAGACGAGGAAAGGAAAGUAAUUUCUGACCUCCCCUAAGGUAGGUGUUACAGAUGACAUACUCUCCUGUGCAGAUAAGAGAGAGGCAAGUAAAGACCUUGGCACAACUUUAAGUUCUUUCUCUCCUUAUGCUCCUGCCCUUUACUACCUAUGUGUGCUCAACAAAGACAAAUGAUAUUCUGGGUAUCACUCCAAUAAACAACCUAUUUGUACCAAAGAACAACAAAAUGUAUAAACUUUCACCUGCAAGUCAUAUUGCCUGGGGUAAGACUGAGGGCAUGAUGGGAAUAGCUGAGCUGGUGAAGAAUAGCCAGGGAAGAGUGUGAUUUUCUGAGCUGGCAAGUAGGUGCUGUGUAAGAGACCAGGGAUCUCUUGGUGUCAUGGGGUCACCUAUGUCAAAGCAAAAAUUGAUGGAGUUCAUCUCCAUGAGUUGAAGUCUGAUGUAGAAUUGAAAUCAUUUUCAGUGAAGGAGGAAAUAUUCCAGCCUUUCCUUUCAUUUAAGGGAAAGGCUGGAAUAGCUACACACUGAGCUUCAGAGGCUAUUAUUCAACAAUCUCCUUUGGCAAGUGGGAUACGGUUGAGGGAAAUAUAAAAUAUCCCUAAAAUGCGUAUGUGCCUGUGCAUUCAUGUCCUUUCUCACACAUGCAUCCAAGUAUGUGUGAGCUAGGGCAGGCACCCAAACCCAGCUCAAAAGAGCACAUCCAUUCUUUGUAGUUUCCAAGAGGGUGUUACAGCUGGCAUUGCAGCAGCCACUGUAGUACAACAGAACAACUAUGAUGUGCUUCUCAGCAUCAUGAAAUCAGGAAUUUAAAGCCAAAACAUCUCCUCACUCCUAUUGAUAUUAGCACUCCGACUAACACUUGCUUGUUAUUGAGUAUAGUUCUAAAAACGGCAUUUUACUUGUGCUGAAUUGUCUGCAGUUCUAAGGAAUAUCUGGUUUUAGGCUGUAAGACUUGAUUUAGAUUAAACGUGAUGACAAAUUUAAAAAAUAGAAGUACUUACUGCUGUCUGAAUCAUAGUGCAGUAGAUUGCUUUCAUAAGAUGGCAGGUCUUCCUAAAAAGGUGCAGAGAGGAUAUGAUCCAAACUAAGGUGAAUUCACCACAUCUCCCUUGCUCAUGCUAAGUCAGUAGGGUUCAGGCUGAGCAUGAAAUAAAAACUCAUCUAUUUUUGUGAUCAGCUGUGGAUAUAAUACAGAGCAUGAAAUCUGGGAAGGAGGUUAAAAACCUGUUUGAAAGCCCAAGGUACCCUUCCAUGUAAGAAAUACUCCAGCAGUGUAGGGAGAGCUUGAAGGCUUUUGCUUUAGGAAGGAAAGGGCUCUGGCAUUGUGGGCAAAAUGGGCAAGGUGCCCAAAACAUUUCUGUAUGAAUGAGGGGUGCUCUGAGAAGGAACAUGUCAGGCUUUCUGCCCUAAAGGCUGUGGGCUGCAGCAUUUCAGGGAGCACAACCAAGCUAUGAUCAAACAUAUUCCUUUCAUUGCAACAGAUCACAAGAUGGUUUUUCAGCAGACAUUCAAUUAUUGCACAAAACAGAUGGUUGAGCAUAAAGGGAAAGUUCUUUUUUUAGACAAAGCUACUCUUGCCUUAGAACUCCUGUAAUCAAAAAACAUAUUUGUAGCAGCUGGCUACUCCUGCCUCUGCAGGCUUUUUGAAUCUACAUCAGACUUUCAAAGGUACAGGUUUAUGAAAGUGUCUCUGAGAUACUGGAAUAUAAUGUCAGACUAAAGUAUGAAAAGUGUUGCAGCGCAGGUAAAUAAUAAAUAGCACCUUUUCCAAUGCUGUCACCUUCUUAAGAGGAACACUAAAAUAAUGGUGUUCCUUUCCUUCUAAAUUUAUUGUCCAUCAGUGACUGCCAGGUGAAAUCCAUUGGUUAUACAAGGAGUGACAAUUUACACUCCCACUACCCCUUCCUCCUUGCCCUCUGUCUCUCCAGCUGCCACUGCCAGCCCUGGACUGCGCCCUGGGAGCAGCCACUCUCCUGGGGACUUCUCUCCAGCGCUGGAACUGCCAUGGCAGAGCAGCACACCUUCUGCUGCUCUCGACACUUCAGUACAGUCUCUGCACUUGUCAGUCACUUUCAGGCUUCUCUUAAAAUUUGGCAGUGGCUCUUUUUUCCCAUGCUGAAGCCUCUGAUUCAGGGAACCAUGUCCCUUGUGCUUUGAAGGUCAUGCUGGGAUUGCCUGCCUGUGCUGCUCCAAGGGGAUACCCUGCUCACCUGCUAACCCAUCUGUGUCCUGGAAGAACUCUGUUUUCUAUGGAUAGAAAAUGAAAGAAUUAACACUUUCUUGGUUGUUAGGUUUUGUGCACCUUCCUUUCUUCAAGUGUGUAUUUGGGACAUGGAGGAAUGUACAAAACCUUUAUGUCCCUUAAAAUGUACCAUUAACUUCACUACAAACCUGCCAGGGAUAUGGCAAAUCCAUGACUAAAUGCAAGAGGGCAUCAGGAUGAGUAAGUACAAUGACAGUGCUGAGCAAGGCAGAUCAUUGUUGAUCCAAGAAAGCAAGCACUUGCAAGGUUCCUGUGUUAAACAGUGAGGUGUUUUAAGUUAAAGUCUCCAAAAAGAAGCACCUGAAAGAGAACACAAAACCUUUCCAGCGAUGGAAAAUACAGAGGUUCUUGAAUUCGCUCUAUUGUUUGUGGAAUUCAGCAGUACAAACUAGUGUAGAGUUUGCAUGGAAUUGAAAUAAAAAGAUGUUUAAAGUAUCUCCUGCAAGCCAAAUCAAACCAGAUUAUUCAUUAUAGUUAUCAUGCAAGUGUGUGUGUGUGUGUGUGUGUGUGUGUGUGUGUGUGUGCACCUAUCGCAGAAUGUACUGAUAAUAUCUGGAAUGUUAACAUGAAAAAAUAUCAUUGCAAAAGAAAUCUCACUGCAAAGUAAAUGUUUGUGUUCAACCUGAAGUAUUUUGCUCUGCUGAUAGACCCAACAUGGGAUGAGUAGGCAAGUUCUACAGCUUCUACUCCAUGUCUGCAUAGCUUCAGUUGUGCCACAACAUAGGUACAAAAUGGGCUGUCUCAUCUGAAGCCAACCUGAAAGACAGAUUGGGAAGUUAACUUGGGUUCAAGUGUCAAGGAAAUAAAGUUAUCACUCUUUUCUGAGGCAGGGACAUUACAGGCAAGCAUCUGAUAAGCUAAUUUUACGUUGUCUCAAAGGUGACUAUAAAAAUGCCAUCAGAGGGUUUCUGGUUUACUCUUUCUCACUUUGUAUCUCAGAAGGUGAUGGUGGCAAGAUGGUACCUCAGAAGGUGAAAACUUGUUCCGUCUGUCUCUGUCAUCAACAAUUCAAUUUCUGCUGUCAUUUCUCAUGUGACCAGAUAAUGGAGCUUGCCGGAGCUCACCCUAAGUCAUAGGUGACUCCGUGUGGUGGAAAAAUCUCUCCUUCAACCUGGGCUUUCAAAGAAAGGCUCAGAAGUCCUCUCUUGUCCAGUCUCAAGGUAGUUUAUUGCAAGUUAUCUAAAAGAUUUUCUUCUCAGGCUGCUGCAGUUUGCUCAGCAGCUCCGGCAAUGGCACACACACACCGUGACAUACUUUCCGACUCCCGUCUUCUUCUUCUUUCCCUCCGCCCAGGGCUGGUGCUAUCUUUUAUAUGGUACAUUACGUAUUAAAUGUUUAUAGUUUUUCCCCAAUGCCUAUUACCUAUAUUAAAUGGUGCCUUUCUACUCUAAACCAAUCUGUGAGUGCCAACAUCACCAAGAACAUGGAGGUAAGGAAGAAGAAAGAGAGAGGACAGGGCAGGCCCAAAUCCCUCCAUCUUAAAACUUCUGACCCCCAUGUACAAAACCAAAACCCCCUGUACAGCACUCAAAAAUUCUUCCCUUUACUUUGUGACUACUUCUACUAUAAUAUCUAAACUUUUGUGACUUCUUGUUCUUCCUGCAAGGUUGGUAAAUCAUUCCGUGGUUCAAAUCCAAAAUCACAGCUGUUUCCAGCUGCCUGACAGGGCCUCAAAUGCUUCUGACCUGGGCCUGGAAUAUCCAAAAAUGUCUGAGGGACCUUUUGAGUUCCGACAGGAGCUAAAUCAGGGUGUUGGAAAUCUAAGAGUCAACUUGCUGUGUUGCUGAGCCUACCUCUGUUUAUUGCUACUGUACUGAUUCCUCCAGGCAGAAUCUCACAGAGAGUUGUUUGGGUUCUUUCCUAUUUAAACACAUAUGCAGGUAAGAGUAAAUGGAAUGAAUUUUCAUCCUGCGGAGUAAACCCGUGCCUGCAGAAGGGCCUUUUCUUUCUCUGAUAUCUAAUCCUUUCCUUUGGCAAAGUAAAUAAUGAGACACUUCUACAGAUCUGAUUAAGCCCUGAGUCCCUUUUUAAAUGACAGAAGAUCAAUACUAUUACUAAAUCCAUUAAACAAUUCUUCACACUUCAGUUGUGUUCUCUCUAGGAUAUAUGAGAAAGAACAGAAGGGUAUUUUGGCUAUUAUAUAGGAAAUGCAUGAUAAAGCCUCUUCUUGUGUUCCACUUUCUCUCCCUGGCUCUAAGCCAUCCAUAUCUUCCAAGCUCCCCAUCCCUUGAAUCUGGCUUACAGGUCAGAAAUAGCCAGAGACCUGGGAUACAGGAGAGAUCUUUCAGUCUCCCAAGCCAGACUUGAAUCUGUCAGUAGUAUCUGGAAGAUCUGGUUGUUUGUUUAAUUCUGAUGACAAAUUGGCUGAAAUAGAUCUAAGUUUCUGGUUUAGUUUUUGAUUUAGUGUCUGUUUUUUGCUGAUGCUCCAGCCUUCUGGUCAUCUUCACGGCCCUUCUCUGGACCUGCUCCAACACAUCCAUGUCCUUCUUAUGCUGGGGACUCCAGAGCUGGAUGCAGUACUCCAGGUGGAGGGGGGUUAAGAAAGCAGAGUAGAGAGGGAUUAAUUUCCUUCCCAAGCCAAGGCAGAGAAAGCUUUUCCUGUGUGAUUUGAUGAAGAACAGAGACAGCUCUAAAGCUCCCACACUGCAGGCUGGGCUCUGUGAAUGUGGGUAUCUUUUUACAAGCAGGAAUCUGAGGCACAGAAUCUCCUUCCAAUUUUUAAAAUUUGCUGCAAAAAGUUUUGGUGUCCACAACAUGAUAUGUCUGUGAGGACUUAGCAGUUCUAACCAUUUCUCCUGUCAAGAAAACCAGUAUUGAUGUGACAAGACAGUGCCUCCCAGCCAGUAGUACUUACUAUUUCUAGAGCCAUUACCAUCAGUAAUGGUAAGUACUAAAAAACUGGGGUCCACUUUCUCCACCAGAAAUGAUCCCUCCAAAUGAGGCAGUCCUUGAGUAUCUCAAAAGUUAAAGGCAAAGUGAUACAAUAAUUUGAAAAUGAAGUAUGCAGCCCAACACGCAUCUGUGCUUGUCCAUGCUCUGAUGUCACCAGCAACCAACCUGAGAGCUCCAUCUGCAUCCUGCUCUCUGCAACCACUCUGUAAUUAUGUCUCAUUGUACAUCAUUUUUGUUCAACAACUUGCUGGCUGUUUUUCACAUCAAAUGAAUUAUUCAGCAGCAGACUCUGUUCUUAAUCAUAACAACAGCAGCACUAAUGCUUCAUGCUCAUAGGGUCCCUUCAGAAGUAUGCUGGAAAUGUUAUUUGUUGAAUUCUUCCAUACUCUGCCACAGAAAAUGGGGCUUGUUCAAUGAAGUGAGAAGUGGGGCUCAGCACAGCUCUCUGACAUGGACUAAGUGAGAGUGUAGAACUAGGAGACAAGUCCAGCCUCCACCACCCUACACAACCUUUCUUCCCCUCUGAUCCACUUUCAGCACUGUACCCAAUCUGUCAGAUCCUCAGCUAUUCUGAUUGUCAUUAUUUCCUUCAAUGCCUUGGGGAGAUACCAAUAUUUGUUUCUUAUAUGUUGAUUAAAGACAGAAACACUGUGCAUUUCAACCCAUGACCUACCAAGCCAAGUCCUUGGCUUUCUCUUGCUAGGAAAGAGCAAACAGCAAGCCAGACAUUCAGAAUGUCUGAAUGUCACUUGUCUUUCUGGACAAUGUCUUUCUGGAUGUCACUGAACUUCUCACUACCUGUGAGUACAGAAUAAAAAUCUAUGAAGAGAAGCCGAGCCAUUAUCUUCACUGAAAAAGGUACAAACUUCAAUAAGCAUUUUCUUCCUUUUUUUUUUUUUUCUUCCAUCUUUUAUGAUCAGUUUUCAAUUCUGUUGAGCAUCACCUGGUUGUCUCUUCAUGGUCAGGUGCAUGAGCUGCUAAAAAACCAAGACACACAGGAGAUUUGGUAAUUCACAUCUAUGGGCUGCACUGCCUGUGACCUUUGCUUAGAAGGUUUUGAAAGAACAUGAAUCUUCUGC